GACGAACGCUGGCGGCGUGCCUAACACAUGCCAGUCGAACGGAAAGGCCCUGCUUUUGUGGGGUUCCCGAGUGGCGAACGGGUGAGAAACCCGGGAGUCACCCUGCCCUUGCGUUAGGAUAACUUCAGGAAAGCGGUGCUAAUACCUGCUUGGUGCUCCUGCAGCAUGGUGGGGGUUGGAAAGUUUCGGUGGAUGGGGAUGGACUUCCGGCUUAUUAGCUUGUUGGUUGGGUAGUUGCAUACCCAGGCAUUGACGGGUAGCCGGCCUGGGAGGGUGGACGGCGUCAAUGGUACUGCGAUAGGCCCCAGAGUCCAACGGGGGGCAGCAGGGGGGAAUCUUGCACAAUGGUGGGGAGUGUGAUGCAGAAGCGCCGCGUGCGGGAUGACGGCCUUCGGGGGAUGAACCGCUUUAACCUGUGACGAAGCGUGAGUGACGGUAAUGGGAGAAGAAGCACCGGCUAACUACGUG
Molecule: ribosomal RNA, 468 nt
Filed under: uncultured bacterium
Lineage: Bacteria
Description: partial 16S ribosomal RNA
Rfam family: Bacterial small subunit ribosomal RNA
Source: RNAcentral